AGAGUUUGAUCAUGGCUCAGAUUGAACGCUGGCGGCAUGCCUUACACAUGCAAGUCGAACGGCAGCACGGGGGCAACCCUGGUGGCGAGUGGCGAACGGGUGAGUAACAUAUUGGAACAUACCCUAGAGUGGGGGAUAACGUAGCGAAAGUUACGCUAAUACCGCAUACGAUCUAAGGAUGAAAGUGGGGGGAUCUUCGGACCUCAUGCUCAUGGAGUGGCCGAUGUCCGAUUAGCUAGUUGGCGGGGUAAAGGCUCACCAAGGCGACGAUCAGUAGCUGGUCUGAGAGGACGACCAGCCACACUGGAACUGAGACACGGUCCAGACUCCUACGGGAGGCAGCAGUGGGGAAUUUUGGACAAUGGGGGCAACCCUGAUCCAGCAAUGCCGCGUGAGUGAAGAAGGCCUUCGGGUUGUAAAGCUCUUUUGUCAGGGAAGAAACGGGGUGGCUAAUAUCUGCUCCUAAUGACGGUACCUGAAGAAUAAGCACCGGCUAACUACGUG
RNAcentral lists this ribosomal RNA (504 nucleotides) under uncultured bacterium. RNAcentral describes it as "bacterial SSU rRNA". It matches the Rfam family "Bacterial small subunit ribosomal RNA", at positions 8 to 507 of the family's 1533-position model. The record is from RNAcentral.